UACGGGGGGGGCAAGCGUUGUUCGGAAUUACUGGGCGUAAAGGGCUCGUAGGCGGCCAACUAAGUCAGACGUGAAAUCCCUCGGCUUAACCGGGGAACUGCGUCUGAUACUGGAUGGCUUGAAUCCGGGAGAGGGAUGCGGAAUUCCAGGUGUAGCGGUGAAAUGCGUAGAUAUCUGGAGGAACACCGGUGGCGAAGGCGGCAUCCUGGACCGGCAUUGACGCUGAGGAGCGAAAGCGUGGGGAGCGAACAGG
RNAcentral lists this ribosomal RNA (253 nucleotides) under uncultured bacterium. RNAcentral's name for it is "partial 16S ribosomal RNA". It matches the Rfam family "Bacterial small subunit ribosomal RNA", at positions 524 to 776 of the family's 1533-position model. The record is from RNAcentral.